UCCUACGGGAGGCAGCAGUGGGGAAUAUUGGACAAUGGGCGCAAGCCUGAUCCAGCCAUGCCGCGUGAGUGAUGAAGGCCCUAGGGUUGUAAAGCUCUUUCAGCGAGGAGGAUAAUGACGUUACUCGCAGAAAAAGCCCCGGCUAACUUCGUGCCAGCAGCCGCGGUAAUACAAAGGGGGCUACCGUUGUCCGGAAUCACUGGGCGUAAAGCGCACGUAGGCGGACUUUUAAGUCAGGGGUGAAAUCCCGGGGGCACACACCCGUAACUGCCUUUUAUACUUGGAAAUCU
This 290-nucleotide ribosomal RNA is filed under the name bacterium A6T_VP8_F7. RNAcentral's name for it is "partial 16S ribosomal RNA". It matches the Rfam family "Bacterial small subunit ribosomal RNA", at positions 337 to 642 of the family's 1533-position model. The record is from RNAcentral.